UUGAACGCUGGCGGCAGGCCUAACACCUGCAAGUCGAGCGGAUGAAGGGAGCUUGCUCCUGGAUUCAGCGGCGGACGGGUGAGUAAUGCCUAGGAAUCUGCCUGGUAGUGGGGGAUAACGUCCGGAAACGGGCGCUAAUACCGCAUACGUCCUGAGGGAGAAAGUGGGGGAUCUUCGGACCUCACGCUAUCAGAUGAGCCUAGGUCGGAUUAGCUAGUUGGUGGGGUAAAGGCCUACCAAGGCGACGAUCCGUAACUGGUCUGAGAGGAUGAUCAGUCACACUGGAACGGAGACACGGUCCAGACUCCUACGGGAGGCAGCAGUGGGGAAUAUUGGACAAUGGGCGAAAGCCUGAUCCAGCAAUGCCGGGGGUGUGAAGAAGGUCUUCGGAUUGUAAAGCACUUUAAGUUGGGAGGAAGGGAAGUAAGUUAAUACCUUGAUGUUUUGACGUUACCAAAAGAAUAAGCACCGGCUAACUUCGUG
This 483-nucleotide ribosomal RNA is filed under the name uncultured bacterium. RNAcentral describes it as "partial 16S ribosomal RNA". It matches the Rfam family "Bacterial small subunit ribosomal RNA", at positions 30 to 507 of the family's 1533-position model. The record is from RNAcentral.